Molecule: non-coding RNA, 357 nt
Organism: Lontra canadensis (Northern American river otter)
Lineage: Eukaryota; Metazoa; Chordata; Mammalia; Carnivora; Mustelidae
Source: the annotation of a RefSeq genome assembly
AUGUGUGACUUUGUUGCAGGUUCCCCAUCCCAGCCUGUGCUGACCCAGCUGUCCUCUCUCUCUGUAUCCCUGGGAACAACUGCCAGACUCACCUGCACCCUGAACAGUGGCUUCAUUGUUAGUGGUCACAAUAUACACUGGUUCCAGCAGAAGCCAGGGACCCCUCCCCAGUUUCUCCUAUUUUUCUACUCAGACUCAAAUAAGCACUGGUGCUCCAGGGUCACCAGCUACUUCUCUGGCUCCAACGAUGACUUGGCCAAUGCAGGGCUUCUGCAUUUCUGUCAGCUGCAGCCUGAAGAUGAGGCUGACAAUUACUGUGCUACAGUUCCUGACAGUGGGAACAGCUUUCAUUCCUAA